This 401-nucleotide ribosomal RNA is filed under the name uncultured soil bacterium. Its description in RNAcentral is "bacterial SSU rRNA". It matches the Rfam family "Bacterial small subunit ribosomal RNA", at positions 26 to 431 of the family's 1533-position model. The record is from RNAcentral.
AGAUUGAACGCUGGCGGCAUGCCUUACACAUGCAAGUCGAACGCGAAAGGGGGGCAACCCCCGAGUAGAGUGGCGAACGGGUGAGUAAUACAUCGGAACGUAUCCAGUAGCGGGGGAUAACCUCUCGAAAGAGAGGCUAAUACCGCAUACGACCUACGGGUGAAAGAGGGGGAUCGCAAGACCUCUCACUAUUGGAGCGGCCGAUGUCGGAUUAGCUAGUGGCGGGUAACGCCACAAGGCUACGAUCCGUAGCUGGUCUGAGAGGACGACCAGCCACACUGGAACUGAGACACGGUCCAGACUCCUACGGAGGACAGCAGUAGGGAAUUUGGACAAGUGGCGCAAGCCUGAUCCAGCCAGUGCCGCGUGGAGUGAAGUAAGGCCGUUCGGUUAGGUAAGAC